GCACAAGCGGUGGAGCAUGUGGUUUAAUUCGACGCAACGCGCAGAACCUUACCAGCCCUUGACAUGCCUCGGAAGUGGACGAGAGAUCGACCACGCUCUUCGGAGCCGGGGACACAGGUGCUGCAUGGCUGUCGUCAGCUCGUGUCGUGAGAUGUUGGGUUAAGUCCCGCAACGAGCGCAACCCUCGCCUUCAGUUGCCAUCAUUUAGUUGGGCACUCUGGAGGGACUGCCGGUGACAAGCCGGAGGAAGGUGGGGAUGACGUCAAGUCCUCAUGGCCCUUACGGGCUGGGCUACACACGUGCUACAAUGGUGGUGACAGUGGGCUGCGAUGGGGUGACCCUGAGCAAAUCCCAAAAAGCCAUCUCAGUUCGGAUUGCACUCUGCAACUCGGGUGCAUGAAGUUGGAAUCGCUAGUAAUCGCGCAACAGCACGGCGCGGUGAAUACGUUCCCCGGGCCUU
Molecule: ribosomal RNA, 460 nt
Filed under: uncultured Hyphomicrobiaceae bacterium
Lineage: Bacteria; Pseudomonadati; Pseudomonadota; Alphaproteobacteria; Hyphomicrobiales; Hyphomicrobiaceae
Description: bacterial SSU rRNA
Rfam family: Bacterial small subunit ribosomal RNA
Source: RNAcentral